Molecule: ribosomal RNA, 549 nt
Filed under: uncultured bacterium
Lineage: Bacteria
Description: bacterial SSU rRNA
Rfam family: Bacterial small subunit ribosomal RNA
Source: RNAcentral
UAGGGAAUCUUCCACAAUGGACGCAAGUCUGAUGGAGCAACGCCGCGUGAGUGAAGAAGGCUUUCGGGUCGUAAAACUCUGUUGUUGGAGAAGAAUGGUCGGCAGAGUAACUGUUGUCGGCGUGACGGUAUCCAACCAGAAAGCCACGGCUAACUACGUGCCAGCAGCCGCGGUAAUACGUAGGUGGCAAGCGUUAUCCGGAUUUAUUGGGCGUAAAGCGAGCGCAGGCGGUUUUUUAAGUCUGAUGUGAAAGCCCUCGGCUUAACCGAGGAAGCGCAUCGGAAACUGGGAAACUUGAGUGCAGAAGAGGACAGUGGAACUCCAUGUGUAGCGGUGAAAUGCGUAGAUAUAUGGAAGAACACCAGUGGCGAAGGCGGCUGUCUGGUCUGUAACUGACGCUGAGGCUCGAAAGCAUGGGUAGCGAACAGGAUUAGAUACCCUGGUAGUCCAUGCCGUAAACGAUGAAUGCUAGGUGUUGGAGGGUUUCCGCCCUUCAGUGCCGCAGCUAACGCAUUAAGCAUUCCGCCUGGGGAGUACGACCGCAAGGUU